RNAcentral lists this ribosomal RNA (460 nucleotides) under uncultured bacterium. RNAcentral describes it as "partial 16S ribosomal RNA". It matches the Rfam family "Bacterial small subunit ribosomal RNA", at positions 338 to 795 of the family's 1533-position model. The record is from RNAcentral.
CCUACGGGAGGCAGCAGUGAGGAAUAUUGGUCAAUGGCCGUAAGGCUGAACCAGCCAAGUCGCGUGAAGGAAGAAGGAUCUAUGGUUUGUAAACUUCUUUUAUGGGGGAAUAAAGGUAUCCACGUGUGGAUAUUUGCAUGUACCCUAUGAAUAAGCAUCGGAUAACUCCGUGCCAGCAGCCGCGGUAAUACGGAGGAUGCGAGCGUUAUCCGGAUUUAUUUGGUUGAAAGGGUGCGUAGGUUGUUUGUUAAGUCAGCGGUGAAAGUUUGGGGCUCAACCAUAAAAUUGCCGUUGAAACUGGAAGACUUGAGUGUGUUUGAGGUAGGUGGAAUGCGGGGUGUAGCGGUGAAAUGCAUAGAUAUCACGCAGAACUCCGAUUGCGAAGGCAGCUUACUGAGCCAAAACUGACGCUGAGGUACGAAAGCGUGGGGAUCAAACAGGAUUAGAUACCCGGGUAGUC